CCUACGGGAGGCUGCAGUGGGGAAUAUUGGACAAUGGGCGAAAGCCUGAUCCAGCAAUACCGCGUGUGUGAAGAAGGCCUGAGGGUUGUAAAGCACUUUCAAUAGGAAGGAAUACCUAUCGGCGAAUACCCGGUAGACUGACAUUACCUAUACAAGAAGCACCGGCUAACUCCGUGCCAGCAGCCGCGGUAAUACGGAGGGUGCAAGCGUUAAUCGGAAUUACUGGGCGUAAAGCGUGCGUAGGCGGUUAUUUAAGUCAGAUGUGAAAGCCCCGGGCUUAACCUGGGAACUGCAUUUGAUACUGGAUGACUAGAGUUGAGUAGAGGAGAGUGGAAUUUCAGGUGUAGCGGUGAAAUGCGUAGAGAUCUGAAGGAACACCAGUGGCGAAGGCGGCUCUCUGGACUCAAACUGACGCUGAGGUACGAAAGCGUGGGUAGCAAACAGGCUUAGAUACCCCAGUAGUC
Molecule: ribosomal RNA, 464 nt
Filed under: uncultured Methylomonas sp.
Lineage: Bacteria; Pseudomonadati; Pseudomonadota; Gammaproteobacteria; Methylococcales; Methylococcaceae
Description: bacterial SSU rRNA
Rfam family: Bacterial small subunit ribosomal RNA
Source: RNAcentral